GGCUAAAUAGCCCUGUCUGGUCCUGCCCGGAUUAUCCGGGUGCUAAGAGGGAAUUUGGUGCGACCUGCCUAACAGGUCAAUUCCAGAGCCGCCCCCGCGACUGUAAGCGGUGAGCUUCUGUUCAACCAGCCACUCCUGACCAUCAGGGGGAAGGCGAACAGAGGCAUCGACCCGCAAGCCAGGAGACCUGCCAGGCACAAUUGAAACAC
Molecule: non-coding RNA, 209 nt
Filed under: Rhodobacteraceae bacterium KLH11
Lineage: Bacteria; Pseudomonadati; Pseudomonadota; Alphaproteobacteria; Rhodobacterales; Paracoccaceae
Also listed under: 1 other name
Source: RNAcentral